RNAcentral lists this ribosomal RNA (253 nucleotides) under uncultured bacterium. Its description in RNAcentral is "partial 16S ribosomal RNA". It matches the Rfam family "Bacterial small subunit ribosomal RNA", at positions 524 to 776 of the family's 1533-position model. The record is from RNAcentral.
UACGUAGGGUGCAAGCGUUGUCCGGAAUUAUUGGGCGUAAAGAGCUCGUAGGCGGUCUGUCGCGUCGGAUGUGAAAACUCGGGGCUCAACCCCGGGCCUGCAUUCGAUACGGGCAGACUAGAGUACGGCAGGGGAGACUGGAAUUCCUGGUGUAGCGGUGAAAUGCGCAGAUAUCAGGAGGAACACCGGUGGCGAAGGCGGGUCUCUGGGCCGAUACUGACGCUGAGGAGCGAAAGCGUGGGGAGCGAACAGG